UACGGAGGAUGCGAGCGUUAUCCGGAUUUAUUGGGUUUAAAGGGUGCGCAGGCGGCACGGCAAGCCGGCGGUCAAAUCGCGGGGCUCAACCCCGCCCAGCCGUCGGAACUGCCGGGCUAGAGUGGGCGAGAAGUGCGCGGAAUGCGUGGUGUAGCGGUGAAAUGCAUAGAUACCACGCAGAACUCCGAUUGCGAAGGCAGCGCACCGGCGCCCUACUGACGCUCAGGCACGAAAGCGUGGGUAUCGAACAGG
RNAcentral lists this ribosomal RNA (252 nucleotides) under uncultured bacterium. Its description in RNAcentral is "partial 16S ribosomal RNA". It matches the Rfam family "Bacterial small subunit ribosomal RNA", at positions 524 to 776 of the family's 1533-position model. The record is from RNAcentral.